CGAGAAUCAUUCACAAUGGGCGAAAGCCUGAUGGUGUGACGCCGCGUGGAGGAUGACGGUCUUCGGAUUGUAAACUCCUGUCAUGUGAGAGUAAGAACCAGAUAGUAACUGAUCGUGGUUUUGAGAGUAUCACAAGAGGAAGAGGCGGCUAACUCUGUGCCAGCAGCCGCGGUAAUACAGAGGCCUCAAGCGUUGUUCGGAAUCACUGGGCGUAAAGGGUGCGUAGGCGGCGCGGAAAGUCAGGGGUGAAAUCCCGGAGCUCAACUCCGGAACUGCCUUUGAUACUCCCGCGCUUGAGAACUGGAGGGGACAUCGGAAUUCACGGUGGAGCAGUGAAAUGCGUGGAUAUCGUGAGGAACACUAGUGGCGAAGGCGGAUGUCUGGACAGUAUCUGACGCUGAGGCACGAAGGCCAGGGGAGCGAA
This 424-nucleotide ribosomal RNA is filed under the name uncultured bacterium. RNAcentral's name for it is "bacterial SSU rRNA". It matches the Rfam family "Bacterial small subunit ribosomal RNA", at positions 356 to 772 of the family's 1533-position model. The record is from RNAcentral.